GACGAACGCUGGCGGCGUGCUUAACACAUGCAAGUCGAACGGAAAGGCCCCUUCGGGGGUACUCGAGUGGCGAACGGGUGAGUAACACGUGCGUAACCUGCCCUUGCCUUCGGGAUAACUUCAGGCAACUGGGGCUAAUACCGGAUAGGAAUCCUUGCUGCCUGGUGGGGGUUGGAAAGAUUCGGCGGUUUUGGAUGGACUCGCGGCCUAUCAGCUUGCUGGUGGGGUAGGGGCUUACCAAGGCUUUGACGGGUAGCCGGCCUGAGAGGGCGGCCGGCCACAAUGGGGCUGAGAAACGGCCCAGACUCCUACGGGAGGCAGCAGUGGGGAAUAUUGCACAAUGGGCGGAAGCCUGAUGGAGCAACGCCGCGGGCGGGAUGACGGCCUUCGGGUUGGAAACCGCUUUCAGCAGGGGCGAAGCUUGUGGUGACGGUACCUGCAGAAGAAGCACCGGCUAACUACGUG
Molecule: ribosomal RNA, 465 nt
Filed under: uncultured bacterium
Lineage: Bacteria
Description: partial 16S ribosomal RNA
Rfam family: Bacterial small subunit ribosomal RNA
Source: RNAcentral